Molecule: ribosomal RNA, 394 nt
Filed under: uncultured bacterium
Lineage: Bacteria
Description: partial 16S ribosomal RNA
Rfam family: Bacterial small subunit ribosomal RNA
Source: RNAcentral
CCUACGGGUGACAGCAGUGAGGAAUAUUGGUCAAUGGGCGAGAUCCUGAACCAGCCAAGCCGCGUGAGGGAAGACGGCCCUAUGGGUUGUAAACCUCUUUUGUAGGAGAACAAAACCCGGGACGUGUCCCGUUCUGCAUGUACCCUAUGAAUAAGCAUCGGCUAACUCCGUGCCAGCAGCCGCGGUAAUACGGAGGAUCCGAGCGUUAUCCGGAUUUAUUGGGUUUAAAGGGUGCGUAGGCGGUUCGUUAAGUCAGCGGUUAAAGUUGGGGGCUCAACCCCCGCCUUGCCGUUGAAACUGGCAGACUUGAGUAGGGGGGAGGUAGGCGGAAUGCGCGGUGUAGCGGUGAAAUGCAUAGAUAUCGCGAAGAACUCCGAUUGCGAAGGCAGCGAAC